GAUGAACGCUGACCGAAUGCUUAACACAUCAGCAAUUGAUUGGUGGCGGACGGGUGAGUAACGCGUAAAGAACUUGCCUCACAGGUAGGGACAACAUUUGGAAACGAAUGCUAAUACCUAAUACUGUGAGAGAGCUUUGCGUCCCAUUAGCUAGUUGGAGAGGUAACGGCUCACCAAGGCGAUGAUGGGUAGCCGGCCUGCGAGGGAGAUCGGCCACAAGUGGACUGAGACACAACCCUUACGGCUACGGGGGGCAGAAGUGAGGAAUAUUGGAAAAAGGACCAAAGUCUGAUGCAGCAAUGCUGUGUGCAAGAAGGAGUUUUCGAAAUGAGAAGUGCUUUCAGUUGGGAAGCGGUACCAACAGAAGAAGAAACGGCUAAGUACGUGCCAGCAGCCGCGGUAAUAC
RNAcentral lists this ribosomal RNA (406 nucleotides) under uncultured bacterium. RNAcentral describes it as "partial 16S ribosomal RNA". It matches the Rfam family "Bacterial small subunit ribosomal RNA", at positions 28 to 526 of the family's 1533-position model. The record is from RNAcentral.